RNAcentral lists this transfer RNA (72 nucleotides) under Plestiodon tetragrammus. RNAcentral describes it as "tRNA-Ile". It matches the Rfam family "tRNA". Rfam says of the family: Transfer RNA (tRNA) molecules are approximately 80 nucleotides in length. Their secondary structure includes four short double-helical elements and three loops (D, anti-codon, and T loops). Lineage: Eukaryota; Metazoa; Chordata; Lepidosauria; Squamata; Scincidae. The record is from RNAcentral.
GGAAAUGUGCCCGAAGCCUAAGGGUUACUUUGAUAGAGUAAAAUACAGAGGUUCAAACCCUCUCAUUUCCUA